Molecule: long non-coding RNA, 270 nt
Filed under: Citrus sinensis (sweet orange)
Lineage: Eukaryota; Viridiplantae; Streptophyta; Magnoliopsida; Sapindales; Rutaceae
Description: long non-coding RNA (CSIN_LNC001927)
Source: RNAcentral
AAACCUCAAUAGUGUGUGUAAUAUUUUAGUAGAUAUGUAUAUUUUAUAAUAUUGAUAAAUUAUGUAUGUAUGUAUGGAUGUAUGUAUGUAUGUGCAUACAUAUGUAUGACAAAGUGUAAAUAUUUGAUGUAACUUUUGUUUAAUAUAUAGAUAUUAAGCGGGUUAUUGGGUAACCCGAUUAUUUUUUCGUGUCGGGUUUGGGUCUCAAUAUUUUGACACGAUUAUUAAAUGGGUCGGAUUUGGGUCGACCUAAAUUUGACACGACACGAA